Molecule: long non-coding RNA, 1685 nt
Filed under: Coturnix japonica (Japanese quail)
Lineage: Eukaryota; Metazoa; Chordata; Aves; Galliformes; Phasianidae
Description: lncRNA (ENSCJPG00005018939.1)
Source: RNAcentral
AUGGGAAGGCUGCUGCAGCGCCAGCAGAUACAACCCCCACCCAGCAGCCCCACCAGAAUGGGAGCGAUGACACACGUGGGGUCCACAGCGGCGCUGGGAGAGCCAACAGAGGCUGCAUUCACCCAUAGCAGCAACGAAGCAGCCGGCAGCGCGGACGACAGAGGGGCUCCGCCACGCGCUGCGUUUGGUCCUCAAUCCUUCCUCCCUCCCCCCCCCAACGCCGGGCACGUGUUUGAGGUAAGAUGUGGAAUUCUGUACAAAUCCCAACUGGCAGAAAAGGAAACACGCACCCGGGGUGUGGGGGGGUCCAUCCCUGGUGGGGCGCAGGGUGUGGAUGGGGCUGAGAGCAGCAGGGCAAUGCGUGGCACCCACAUCCCCCCCACUGCGGUCCCACUUUGGCUGGGGGGGAGGCACGGCUCGGAGCUGUGGGACGGCCCAAACAUGGGCAUGUUUUUGUUUUUCUUUUUGUUUUUUGUUUUUUUUUAAAAAAACUCCUUUAUAUUUAUAUAUUUACUUAUAUAUAUAUAAUAUAUAUAUAUAUAUAUAUAGUGCUCUCGCGAGCCAGGAUUGCGGCUAACAACCUAUAGGGCACAGGGCGAGGAGGGGUCGGGGGGUGCAAGGAGGGACCUCACUGCAGUGCUGGGGGGGAGCUCGGGGGAACUGUACCGCUAUAAAAGCUGGAACAUCACAGAGCACAGACUGAGGGGGAGCACAGCAGGCCUGCAGUGCUGGUGUGCUGCGUGACCAUGGUGUGCUGCGUGCCCACACUGUGCUGUGUGCCCACACUGUGCUGUGUGCCCACACUGUGCUGUGUGCCCACACUGUGCUGUGUGCCCACACUGUGCUGUGUGCCCGCGCUGUGUGUGCUUUUGCUCAGCCCAGUGCAGGAAAACAACGUUGGAAGAUCUGCUAAAAAAAAUGAAAUCCCCAAAGGGAGCUGAGAAGAGAAGGGAGCAGCUAUGGAAACAUGCAGCCCCACCAGAGGAGCAGUGGGAGCUGUGCAGGGCUGCAGACAUCAGCAAAGCGUCACCAGAGCCACCAAGUGCCACCAGCUCUGCCUGAACCCCCCGGAAUGCAGCGUCCCCUCAGUAAGGGCACAUCGUCCCCUUCCUGAGGCCAUCGGGGUGCUCAGGACCUCAGAGCAUGUGAGGAAAGUUGGCUGGGGGGACCCCCAUGCUUGGGGACAACGGCUCCUGCCUGGCACCCCAUGGCCACACUGUCCCACUGAGAUGGGAGGGCAUGGGAGGCUGCCCUGCCUGGGAUCCUAAUGCUCCACACAACCCCUAAAGCAGCGAUGCUGAAAGCUCCAGCAAAGGGCACGGAGGGGUUUGGGGGGAGUGGGAGGGGAAGGGGGAAGCACUGCCAGUGUUUGUAUGGAUAAAAAAAGAAGAAAUCUUCCUAAGUUGGAAGGAUAAAAAUGAAGCCUGGAUGGUCGCUGAGGGGAGACUGAGCUGCAAUGAGUGCGGGUGGGGGCGGAAGGUGGGGGGCACCAUCAGGGCAGGGGGAUCCUCGUGCCCCCUCCCCGCGCCCCUCCAGGGCAGGGAAGCAGCAGCGCACGGCACCGGCCAACCUUCAUCCACACCUCCACGCGGAGCUGUAAACUUGUUUCAAACAAUAACUUAAAAAGACCGAAAACGAAUAUUAAAAACAAUAAAGCUGUAUUAGGACGGAGGGGGGGGGGGGGG